This 563-nucleotide ribosomal RNA is filed under the name Metarhizium anisopliae. Its description in RNAcentral is "eukaryotic LSU rRNA". The stretch from base 184 to 337 matches the Rfam family "5.8S ribosomal RNA". The record is from RNAcentral. Lineage: Eukaryota; Fungi; Ascomycota; Sordariomycetes; Hypocreales; Clavicipitaceae.
UUUUCUUUUACAAGUUCUCCGUUGGUGAACCAGCGGAGGGAUCAUUACCGAGUUAUCCAACUCCCAACCCCUGUGAAUCAUACCUUUAAUUGUUGCUUCGGCGGGACUUCGCGCCCGCCGGGGACCCAAACCUUCUGAAUUUUUUAAUAAGUAUCUUCUGAGUGGUUAAAAAAAAUGAAUCAAAACUUUCAACAACGGAUCUCUUGGUUCUGGCAUCGAUGAAGAACGCAGCGAAAUGCGAUAAGUAAUGUGAAUUGCAGAAUUCAGUGAAUCAUCGAAUCUUUGAACGCACAUUGCGCCCGUCAGUAUUCUGGCGGGCAUGCCUGUUCGAGCGUCAUUACGCCCCUCAAGUCCCCUGUGGACUUGGUGUUGGGGAUCGGCGAGGCUGGUUUUCCAGCACAGCCGUCCCUUAAAUUAAUUGGCGGUCUCGCCGUGGCCCUCCUCUGCGCAGUAGUAAAGCACUCGCAACAGGAGCCCGGCGCGGUCCACUGCCGUAAAACCCCCCAACUUUUUAUAGUUGACCUCGAAUCAGGUAGGACUACCCGCUGAACUUAAGCAUAUGA